UUGAAUGGCCGCAGUAUUUUGACUGUGCAAAGGUAGCAUAAUCAUUAGUUUCUUAAUUAGAAACUGGAAUGAAAGGUUGAACGAGAAAAUAACUGUCUCUUUAUGAAUUAUUUAGAAUUUUAUUUUUAAGUUAAAAAGCUUAAAUUUUUUUAAAAGACGAGAAGACCCUAUAGAGUUUUAUAUUAUUUUUUAUAUAAUUAUAAAUUGAAUUUUCAAAAUUAUAUUUAAAAUUAUAUUUAAUUGGGGUGAUUAAAAAAUUUGUAUAACUUUUUUUUUAUGUAAACAUUAAUUUAUGAAUUUUUGAUCCAUUUAUUAUGAUUAAAAGAUUAAAUUACCUUAGGGAUAACAGCGUAAUUUUUUUUUAGAGUUCUAAUCGAUAAAAAAGUUUGCGACCUCGAUGUUGGAUUAAAAUAAAAUUUUGGUGUAGAAGCUAAAAGAUUAGGUCUGUUCGACCUUUAAAAUUUUACAUGAUCUGAGUUUAAACCGGUGUGAGCCAGGUUGGUUUCUAUCUUUAAAAAUAUAAAAAAUAUUUUAGUACGAAAGGACCAAGUAUUUAUAAAAUUUAUUAUAAAUUGAAUAUUAUUAAU
Molecule: ribosomal RNA, 587 nt
Filed under: Stenectinobregma sp. ZMUN 10008435
Lineage: Eukaryota; Metazoa; Arthropoda; Insecta; Coleoptera; Staphylinidae
Description: partial 16S ribosomal RNA
Rfam family: Bacterial large subunit ribosomal RNA
Source: RNAcentral